Mycena vulgaris is the source of this 94-nucleotide non-coding RNA. The record is from the annotation of a GenBank genome assembly. Lineage: Eukaryota; Fungi; Basidiomycota; Agaricomycetes; Agaricales; Mycenaceae.
UCAGACAUGGUGUAAUGGGAACACGGCCUUCUAUCAUUUGGCAAAUCUGGAGGGUUUAUGGAGGCAGUCCAGGGUUCGACUCCCUGUGUUUGAA